Molecule: small RNA, 29 nt
Filed under: Bombyx mori (domestic silkworm)
Lineage: Eukaryota; Metazoa; Arthropoda; Insecta; Lepidoptera; Bombycidae
Description: ovarian small RNA-18248
Source: RNAcentral
UAAACUUAUCCGUUAAAUUCUGUAGCUGC